ACAGAGGCCCAGAAGCUGAGCAUCUCACCCCAUGACAUUGAGUGGUGGAGCCAGCAUGUGGGCCCAGAUGUAACUGAACACAGUCCCCUAUGCUAUGCUGCAAGAAAAGAGUCAGGUCAACUGGUGUCCAGCCUCAGCCCCACAGGUGGCAGGAGUAUGAAGAGGGGUUACCAGGAGUGGGAUUCCAGGGCCCCGUCUCAUUUUUAAUCACAGUGAUCAGGAUGUGGCCAUUCUCAACCUGUUGAAGAGUGCAAAAAAGUACCUACAGAAGCAGAAAAAUGCGCAAGAAGACCACAUUUUUCUCUCCACUUCCAUUCAACAGACCAGGAGGCUGCGGAAGUAGGUGACUGGAGAUGCUAGUGGAACCCAGACCUGGGGCCCAACCUGCCCCUGUACUUCCCUCCUCUACCCUUGAAUUCGUCAGCGUGGAGCAGUUGUGACAUACCUCAAAGCUUUCUUUUUGGGGGGGCCCCCACCCAAAGUCUCUCAGGAGAGAUCUAACAUCAAAGUUGCCCUCUGGGAGCCUGGUGGCAGGAGCCUGUUUGCUGACUUCAGACUCUGUGGCACAUAUUGUGAGCAUGGCCACUGCAUCCGGCUUGGAGGCUUCCUACACCAGAUAUCCUAUCCGAGCUUCAUUUGGGUGGCCCUGGGAGGAGGCGUUAUCUUUAUUGGCAAACCAAGGCCAGCUCCUUCUGCUGGCCAAUGCAGCAAGACCAAAUCCAGCCCUCACAUGGCUCAGAGGCUGACUCCUGAUCUGGGCCAGAGGCUGCCAUCAGCUCUUGAAAUUUCUUCUGGUCAAUGCAGUGCAGAGGAGGGGAAAGCAUUAGGUUGGCGCCCCUCGGAUCUGGGCUUGAUCCCCAACUCUGCACUUAACAGCCAGGUGACCUUGAGCAAGAGGCUCAGCUGAGAUAGUUUCUUCAUGUGUAAAGUGGGGUUAGGUGGGCAGGCAGUGCCCAAACAGCAGGAGAGCCAGGAGUUGCUGGGAGAGUGAGGCUGCCUCUCUUCCACUCUGUGGCAUCCUGUCCUGGCAGGCUGCUCCCUGCAAGGCAGACACCUUCUCCCGCACAGACUCACCUUGACCUGCGACUCGGUCAUCCCCAGUGGGGAAACUGAGGCACCAAAAGGGGAAGAGACCUCCCAAGAGACCAUCGUCUGCAGUUCUCUCUUCUUUUGUGUUAAUUCAACCACUGACUCAGAUAU
Long non-coding RNA from Prionailurus viverrinus (fishing cat), 1200 nucleotides. RefSeq lists it as uncharacterized. The transcript has 4 exons. The record is from RefSeq and is a predicted model, not a curated record. Lineage: Eukaryota; Metazoa; Chordata; Mammalia; Carnivora; Felidae.